This 71-nucleotide transfer RNA is filed under the name Anthoceros punctatus. Its description in RNAcentral is "tRNA-Gly". It matches the Rfam family "tRNA". From Rfam's summary of the family: Transfer RNA (tRNA) molecules are approximately 80 nucleotides in length. Their secondary structure includes four short double-helical elements and three loops (D, anti-codon, and T loops). The record is from RNAcentral. RNAcentral also lists the same sequence under 2 other names. Lineage: Eukaryota; Viridiplantae; Streptophyta; Anthocerotopsida; Anthocerotales; Anthocerotaceae.
GCGGGUAUGGUUUAAUGGUAAAAUUCUUCCUUGCCAAGGAAGAGAUGCGGGUUCGAUUCCCGCUACCCGCC